AUAACACAGAUUGUACUAAAUGCAAAAUAACCAUCUAAAAAGCAAACCUUAUUUGAUAAUACACACAGAGACAUAAAAUUUAAAAAUAGAAAAAUAGAAAAAGCUGAAGCUAUUUACUGUAUUAAUGGCACUUGUCAGACGAGAUGUAUAAUAAAUGUUUUUCAUGCAUGCAUGGCAUGACAAGAGGAUUCUUUUAGAAUCUUCUCCUAAUAUGUUUUGCUGAGUCCUAUUUGAACACAAUUAGCCAAGCUUAGCUCAUGAUUAUUACACCUGGACAUUCAUGGUAUAUCAAUGCACUUGAAAUAUUAUGAAACAAGCAAAGCUAAUUUAUAUAUUAAUUUACCCACUGGAAAAGACAUCUAACUAGCAUGUCAACUUGAACAUCAGUUAUGAUAGUAAGAUGAAGAAAAAGCCAACCAAAAGCAAUCAGCCAUCUAAAAUCAUUUGCAAGGAAAGCAGCUGGUAAACAUAUUUCACCAGCGAUUACCCCAUGUGUAAAAAUACAACUUCAGCCCGUUUUAAUGUUCUCUAGAAAAAGCUAAAUUCCCUACAAUAGUAGAUCAAGUCUGACAAAAAGAUGCACCACUUGUAUUAAUAGAAAAGAUAAAACACAGAAUUGAUGUAAAACUUUCCAUGCAUGCAUGACAUGACAUGACAUGACAUGUGGAUUCUUUUAGAAUCUUCUCCUAAUAUGUUUUGCUGAGUCCUAUUUGAACACAAUUAGCAAAGCUUAGCUCACGAUUAUUACACCUGGACAUUCAUGGUAUAUCAAUGCACUUGAAAUAUUAUGAAACAAGCAAAGCUAAUUUAUGUAUUAAUUUAUCCACUGGAAAAGACAUCUAAUUAGCAUGUCAACUUGAACAUCAGUUACGAUGGUACGCUGAAGAAAAAGCCAACCAGAAGCAAUCAGCCAUCUAAAAUCAUUUGCAAGGAAAGCAGCUGGUAAUCAUAUUUCACCAGCAAUUACCCAAUGUGCAAAAAUACAACUUCAGCCCGUUUUAAUGUUCUCUAGAAAAAGCUAAAUUCCCUAUGAUAGUAGAUCAAGCCUGACAAAAAGAAGCACCACUUGUAUUAAUAAAAAAGAUAAAACAAAGAAUUGGUGCAAGACUUUUCAUGCAUGCAUGGCAUGACAUGUGGAUUCUUUUAGAAUCUUCUCCUAAUAUGUUUUGUUGAGUCCUUUUCAAACACAAUUAGCCAAGCUGAGAUCAUGAUUAUUACACCUGGACAUUCAUGGUAUAUCAAUGCACUUGAAAUAUUAUGAAACAAGCAAGGCUAAUUUAUAUAUUAAUUUAUCCACUGGAAAAGACAUCUAAAUAGCAUGUCAA
This 1325-nucleotide long non-coding RNA is filed under the name Populus trichocarpa (black cottonwood). RNAcentral describes it as "long non-coding RNA (PTRI_LNC003673)". The record is from RNAcentral. Lineage: Eukaryota; Viridiplantae; Streptophyta; Magnoliopsida; Malpighiales; Salicaceae.